This 342-nucleotide ribosomal RNA is filed under the name uncultured Caryophanales bacterium. Its description in RNAcentral is "bacterial SSU rRNA". It matches the Rfam family "Bacterial small subunit ribosomal RNA", at positions 27 to 358 of the family's 1533-position model. Lineage: Bacteria; Bacillati; Bacillota; Bacilli; Caryophanales. The record is from RNAcentral.
GAACGAACGCUGUCCGCGUGCCUAAGAAAGCAAGUCGAGCGGACAUGUUUGGAGCUUGCUUCAGACUUGUCCGCAGCGGACGGGUAAGUAACACGUAAGCCACCUGCGCCCCAGACCGGGAUAACGUAAGGAAACUUACGCUAAUACAGGAUAGGGCACCUUCUCGCAUGAGAGGGUGCGGAAAGGUGGCGCAUGCUACCACUUGCAGAUGGGCCUGCAGCACAUUAUCUAGUUGGUGGGGUAACAGCCUAGCAACGAUACGAUGCGUAUCCGACCUGAGAAGGUGACCCGCCACACUGGGACUGAGACACGGCCCCCACUCCUACGGGAGGCAGCAGUGGG